UACGUAGGGGGCAAGCGUUGUCCAGAUUUACUGGGCGUAAAGAGCGUGUAGGCGGCCACGCAGGUCCGUUGUGAAAACUGGAGGCUCAACCUUCAGACGUCGACGGAAACCGUGUGGCUAGAGUCCGGAAGAGGAGAGUGGAAUUCCUGGUGUAGCGGUGAAAUGCGCAGAUAUCAGGAAGAACACCAAUGGCGAAGGCAGCUCUCUGGGACGGUACUGACGCUGAGACGCGAAAGCGUGGGGAGCGAACAGG
This 253-nucleotide ribosomal RNA is filed under the name uncultured bacterium. RNAcentral's name for it is "partial 16S ribosomal RNA". It matches the Rfam family "Bacterial small subunit ribosomal RNA", at positions 524 to 776 of the family's 1533-position model. The record is from RNAcentral.